Molecule: long non-coding RNA, 1323 nt
Filed under: Gossypium barbadense (sea-island cotton)
Lineage: Eukaryota; Viridiplantae; Streptophyta; Magnoliopsida; Malvales; Malvaceae
Description: long non-coding RNA (GBAR_LNC009640)
Source: RNAcentral
AGAAAGUGAGAAAGAACAGAAAGCAGGGACGAAACAUGGGAAGGAAAGAAGGAAAAAGGAAUGAAAGAAAGAAAAAGGAAAAAUUGGGAUUUUGAGGUUUGAAGGUUUAAUUGCUAGCGUUGUGUCGAAAAAUCUCAACUAAGUGAGAAAAAGACAAAGUCAACGAGGGAUAGCUUGGAAAUUACGGUUUGUAUUUCCAUAAACCGAAUCUAAUAAUUAUUUGUUGAAUUUAUUAUUUAGUAUGAAUGGUAAUAAUAAUAAUUAUUAUUAUGGUAUUGAAUAGAAUAAAAAUUCAUGCAUUAUAUGUGAUUAUUGAUAUUGGAUUGAAUGUGUGAUAAGUAUGUGAUUAUUGAGAAAUGAAUUGAAAUAUUUACUGAUUUUAAACAUCGAUAAAAUGACUGUUAUUUAAAAGAAGACUAAAAACCCUAUCAACAGUAUCAGGCUAGUCGGAUAUAGUUGGCAUGCCAUAGGAUUGGAAGUGUUCAGGGAUAAUCCGACUUUGUGUCGAUGAGACACUAUUUUUGUCGACUACUGUUACUGUUCCAAAUUCGUUCCGAAGAGAUACUCCGUACCUAACUGUUACUGUUUCGGAUUAGUUCCGAUGAGGUACUUUGUGUACCGCUACUAUUACUAUUACUGUUAUGUUACCGUUACUGACACAGUGUAAUCCGGCUCUGGCCGAUGAAACACUGUGUACUAUCCCCGGUGUGUGGGUUGGAUCCGUGUAUCUAUCCAGGUCCGAGUUAUGUUAUUAGGGGUAAUGAAAAGUAUUAAAGACUGACUGCUACUGAAUAAUUGACUGUUAUUGAAUAAACGACUGAUACUGAAUAAAUGAUUGUUACUGAUUAACCGACUAUUACUGUUGACUGACUGGUACUGAACACUAAAGAUCAAUUGGUUGUUACCAAAGAAUAUUGACUGUUAUUGAAAUGAAAUAGUACAGAAUAUUGAACGAAAGGGGAAUAAUAUUAUUAUUCAAAUGAAUUGUAAAUAAAAGUACUGAAAAACUAAUUGUUACUGAAUAUUGGACUGCUACUGAAUGUCUGAAAGAUACUGAAUACUGGUUGUUACUGAAUUAAAUAUGAAAAAUUGACGGAUAAUGAAUAAACAUUGAAACUGUAUACAUUUCAUCGAAAGUGAUUAACAAUAUCUUAGUAUUAUAAAUCAAAAACAAAUGAUUGCACUAUUAAGAGUAAUAGAUUGAAUUCUCAAGGUUCACUGAUAUAUGAUUUAUUAUUGACUUAAGUAUCGGUUUAUAGAAAUAACACUAAGUCCAUACUCAGCGCACGAUUUGUUUCCGUGCGCAGGUUAAAUAAAGCUAGA